Molecule: long non-coding RNA, 236 nt
Filed under: Elaeis guineensis (African oil palm)
Lineage: Eukaryota; Viridiplantae; Streptophyta; Magnoliopsida; Arecales; Arecaceae
Description: long non-coding RNA (EGUI_LNC052094)
Source: RNAcentral
CACAAGACAGCUUAUCGAGACCUUUAAAGUUGUGUGCUGGUGCCAGAUCCUUAAUUGGUCCCUUGAGCUAGAUCCUAUAAAAACACCAAAGACAAAAAGGUUCUCACACUAGGGGAUUCCCUAAUGGUGGACCCUUUGAUGUCCAAAUCAUUCUUUCAUGGCCAGCAGAAGAGGUUUGGGCUCGUGAAGGAGAUGAGAGGUGGUGUCGAAAAUGAAGUGUGAAAAGUUGGUGUCAA